This 24-nucleotide non-coding RNA is filed under the name Arabidopsis thaliana (thale cress). Lineage: Eukaryota; Viridiplantae; Streptophyta; Magnoliopsida; Brassicales; Brassicaceae. The record is from RNAcentral.
GUGAGAAGGUACAGACAUCGUGAU